UGCAAGUCGCACGAGAAAGGGAGCAAUCCUAAGUAAAGUGGCGCACGGGUGAGUAACACGUGGAUCAUCUACCUUUUAGUGGGGAAUACCUCUGGGAAACCGGAGACAAUACCGCAUAAGCCCGCAAGGGGAAAGCAGCAAUGCGCUGAAAGAGGAGUCCGCGGCCGAUUAGCUAGUUGGCGGGGUAACGGCCCACCAAGGCGAAGAUCGGUAGCCGGCCUGAGAGGGCACACGGCCACACUGGCACUGAAACACGGGCCAGACUCCUACGGGAGGCAGCAGUGGGGAAUCUUGCACAAUGGGCGAAAGCCUGAUGCAGCGACGCCGCGUGAGCGAUGAAGCCCUUCGGGGUGUAAAGCUCUUUCGACGGGAACGAUAAUGACGGUACCCGGAGAAGAAGCUGCGGCUAACUACGUGCCAGCAGCCGCGGUAAUACGUAGGCAGCGAGCGUUGUUCGGAAUUACUGGGCGUAAAGAGUGUGUAGGCGGUGUUCCCAGUCUGUUGUGAAAUCUCCCGGCUUAACUGGGAGGGUGCAGCGGAAACUAGAAUGCUAGAGGGUGGGAGAGGUAAGCGGAAUUCCUGGUGUAGCGGUGAGAUGC
Molecule: ribosomal RNA, 599 nt
Filed under: uncultured Acidobacteriota bacterium
Lineage: Bacteria; Pseudomonadati; Acidobacteriota
Description: bacterial SSU rRNA
Rfam family: Bacterial small subunit ribosomal RNA
Source: RNAcentral